GAAAGGAAUUGAUAUCUAUCAAUUCUGGAAGCUGGAUAACAGUUUCUCAAUUAGG
RNAcentral lists this non-coding RNA (55 nucleotides) under unclassified sequences. Its description in RNAcentral is "S4-Clostridia ribosomal protein leader". It matches the Rfam family "S4-Clostridia ribosomal protein leader". The record is from RNAcentral.